Non-coding RNA from Peromyscus maniculatus bairdii (prairie deer mouse), 3193 nucleotides. The record is from RefSeq and is a predicted model, not a curated record. NCBI's taxonomy places the organism in Eukaryota, Metazoa, Chordata, Mammalia, Rodentia, Cricetidae.
AAUGAUACAAGUUUGAAGGGACAGGUGGCUGGCCCUGACUUGAAUGCUACACAACCUAUACAUGUACUGAAACAUCUCAAAGUACCACAUAAGAGGGACAAUUUUCGCCAAUUAAAAAUAAAUAAGCUGGUCAGGUGUGGCGACGUGCACUAAAAGACAGGCAAGUAGAUUUUUGAGAAGGAGGAGGAGGAGGGAAGGAGGAAGAAGAGGAAGAAGGAGGGAGAUGGGCGAGAAGAGCAGCAGCAGCCACCUCUGCCGUAUUCCCAGCACCGGGGAAGCAAACACAGUCAUCCCUGGGCUUGCGGGCCAGCCCAGCCUAGCUUACUAGGCAGGUUCCAAGCCAGCGAGAAACCCUGUCUCAACAAGGAAGAUGCCAUCUGAUGAAUGAUAGCCAAGGCUGUCCUCUGACGUGCACAUGGACAUGCACACAUAUGCACAUCCACAUGCACACAAGUAUAUAUGUACAUAUGGUACAUGUGCAUAUAAAUAAAGCAAGCUGGAUGUUGGACAAAGGCCUGUAUGUAAUUCCAGGUACUCUGUUGAUCACAAGUUCAGUGCUGGCCUGGACUAGAUUGGAUUCCAGGCCAACCUAAACAACUUAGCGAGACCUUAUCUCAAGAAAUAAGGCCCAGAGACAAGAGUGCCUGCCUAGCCCAAGUGAGGCCCAAGGUUUGAUCCCCAGUGCCCCAGAACAAGCAAGCCAAGUUGUAGAGCUGGCUGGGAAGGCAGGUCAGCCCACUCCCCACUCACUCUGAAUCCACUCCAGCCACCGGUCUCUUCCUCCUUACCCUCAUUAGGCUCAGACCUCCAUCAUCUCUUUGCCUCUCCAGACAUCUCUUGGUAGUGCUGACAUACUGGAGUGUAGCCCCUCAUUCUGGCAGAGCCAGGGAUUAAGGAUGAGAAGCCGCACAGCAUCAUCCCCAUUAGCUCCCCCACAUUCUGCACACAUCUCUAUCAAGAUUUCUUGCAAAUGGGGCACUGUAUACAUCAAGGCAUACAUUUUUUCACAUGUAGGCAUACCAAAACCCUGGGAAGGGGUACAGCAGGAGAGCAACAGAAUACAGUUAGAAUACGGUGGGUGUUUACUUUCUUCUCACCUAAUUUUCCAAAAUUAUUGUCUAUGAGAAUUCCAUGCAUUACAUUUAUAGAGAAAAAUCCAGUAAGUUAAAAUGAAUAGUAAGUACUUACUAGUGCCUCUGGGCAAAAUGAACUCUGAUGCUACCUGUGUUUUACAGCAGACAGAUAAUAGAUGGUCCAUCUGAAGUAUUUUAUGAGGCUUUGUGAUGUAAGAAUAUAUUUGGAACUGGGAAUAGAAGUGCAUGCCUGUAAUCUCAGCCCUGAGGAAGCUGAGGUAGGUGGAUUGUGAGUUUACAGCCAGCCUGGGCUAUAUACUAAGAAACACUGUAUCCAAUAAAUACUUGCUAGUGGGGGCUUAUAUGUGCCAUUGACUUGUGGCUGAAGCCCCUAAGUAGCUGGCCUCAGGAUGGAGAGGAACCAACAUUAGAUAAGAUUGGAACACUCAGCCUUACUCCUAGGCUCUGAGGAACAGACAGGGGCCGCAGGCUGAGCUGAUCACCAGUGGCUAGUGGCUUAAUUAUGCCUAUGUAAAGCAUUUCCCUAAGUUCUGUGAGUUGUUCCAGCAAAUGAUUGAUGCCAGUUGGGGGGUGGGGUCAUAGCCUUGAUUUUACAGCUCACUGGUCAGAAGUACAAGCGUCUGCAUGGGAGACAGUCCGCGAGGGACUGUGCUCUUGAUCUGUGGGGUGGGCACCAACUCUAGGGUCGGAAUUAAACUGAACUGUUGGAUACUCAGCAGCUGAAAAAUGGCUGGCAUGGAAGAACUACACAUCUGACCAUGGAAUAUAAAAAAGAGGAAAAACCAUAGGCUGUUUUUUUUUUCCUUCACAAAGGAUACCUGCUUAAAACCUCGCCAUUCUGCCAUGAGGAAGCCCAGGCUACAGGAGGAGCCACUGUGAGCCUCAGACGAGACCCAGCUGAGGCUGCAGUUCACAACCAGUACAAGACCCUAAAAACUCCUCCAAAAGCCUGUGUCCAGCCACUGUCUGGCUCACUGCAUGAGAGGCCCUGAGUAGCAUAGUCAACCCACAGAAUCUUGGACUGUGGACUCUCCAGAAAUCAAACAGAAGCACAGCCUCAUCUGAGAAGAUGAAAUGCAUCUGAAAGAGACGAGAUCUGCAUCAAAGGAGGCUUGGACACAGAGGUCCUGCUUCCUAAUGCUCUCUAGCAGUUACCCUGGGGCUGCAGGACUUACAUGCUGGAAGGUCCAUUAGAAGCCAGAUGGAGGAGGAGGGCUUGCCCAAGUGGGUCAAUAGCACCUAUAACCGAGCCCUGCUCCAUGUGGAAGUGAAGAUGGGGAGUGCCUAUCCUCACAAGGCCAACCAGACUUGGGAUGACACAGAUGUGAAGGUAGCAGAGAUGCAGUCCCACUGGGAGGAAAGAAGGGAAGAAGCUGGGAAAGGAGAAAAGCACAGGAGAAAAGACCUCCAUGCAGUCACAGGGCUGGUGCUCAGGCCUUUAAGGAUAAAGAAACGAAGCAAACAAGAUCAUGGUAUGUGAAGACAGGCAAGAAAAGCCAGUGCUUGAGGGACUGCAGCUGAGAAACAGGGUGCAAGCGAGGGGGAAGAGGUGAGAGGGAGGCUGCGGAGCGGAACACAGACAGGUGUGCACGAUCCUGGUUCCACACACACACAGGGAAGUGCCGGUGAACCGCUGAGUGUAGCAUCCGUCAACAGGUCCCACACGGCCCAGGUCGCUUAGUGAAGGACAUCAUGUUCCCUUAAGACCCCAGAGCUUUCCUGAAAAUGCAGGUGCCUGGCCUCCUUAGACCUGUCAAUCAGAAGCCAGGCGAAGAGCCAGGUGACCUUAACGAGACCCAUUCGAGGAAAGGGCUCUGAUGCUCACUCAGCGUGGUACAGUUGGAACAGAGGAGCAAAGCCUAGUGCACAGAACACCCUGUAUCUGCCUUCUUCUGCUGCUGGGACCUUGAAGCCACACAGCAAGCUCCUGCUGGAGCUCAGUCUGUCUGUCUGUAACAUGGGAACUGAACCCAGGAAGCCUUUUCCCCUGGUUUGGCUUCACUUUCUCGGAUCGCUGUGAACUUUGUACAGACAGGCUCCCAUUGUGAGCUUCAUUCCUACUCGGAAUUCCUACAAUAAAGGACAAGAGAAAACAAAAA